GAGGUGCUUGCACCUCUGAUACUUAGCGGCGGACGGGUGAGUAACACGUGGGUAACCUGCCUAUAAGACUGGGAUAACAUUCGGAAACGAAUGCUAAUACCGGAUACGCGGUUUGGUCGCAUGACCGAAUCGGGAAAGAUGGAGCAAUCUAUCACUUAUAGAUGGACCCGCGGCGCAUUAGCUAGUUGGUGAGGUAACGGCUCACCAAGGCGACGAUGCGUAGCCGACCUGAGAGGGUGAUCGGCCACACUGGGACUGAGACACGGCCCAGACUCCUACGGGAGGCAGCAGUAGGGAAUCUUCCGCAAUGGACGAAAGUCUGACGGAGCAACGCCGCGUGAGUGAUGAAGGUUUUCGGAUCGUAAAGCUCUGUUGCCAGGGAAGAAUGCUUGGGAGAGUAACUGCUCUCAAGGUGACGGUACCUGAGAAGAAAGCCCCGGCUAACUACGUGCCAGCAGCCGCGGUAAUACGUAGGGGGCAAGCGUUGUCCGGAAUUAUUGGGCGUAAAGCGCGCGCAGGCGGCCUUGUAAGUCUGUUGUUUAAACUUGGGGCUCAACCCCAAGUCGCAAUGGAAACUGCAAAGCUUGAGUGCAGAAGAGGAAAGUGGAAUUCCACGUGUAGCGGUGAAAUGCGUAGAGAUGUGGAGGAACACCAGUGGCGAAGGCGACUUUCUGGGCUGUAACUGACGCUGAGGCGCGAAAGCGUGGGGAGCAAACAGGA
This 720-nucleotide ribosomal RNA is filed under the name Paenibacillus sp. I12B-01131. RNAcentral describes it as "bacterial SSU rRNA". It matches the Rfam family "Bacterial small subunit ribosomal RNA", at positions 73 to 777 of the family's 1533-position model. The record is from RNAcentral. Lineage: Bacteria; Bacillati; Bacillota; Bacilli; Caryophanales; Paenibacillaceae.